Molecule: ribosomal RNA, 1074 nt
Filed under: Salinibacterium amurskyense
Lineage: Bacteria; Bacillati; Actinomycetota; Actinomycetes; Micrococcales; Microbacteriaceae
Description: bacterial SSU rRNA
Rfam family: Bacterial small subunit ribosomal RNA
Source: RNAcentral
GUCGAACGAUGAAGCCGGAGCUUGCUCUGGUGGAUUAGUGGCGAACGGGUGAGUAACACGUGAGUAACCUGCCCUUGACUCUGGAAUAAGCGUUGGAAACGACGUCUAAUACUGGAUACGAGCUUCAGCCGCAUGGCUAGGAGCUGGAAAGAAUUUCGGUCAAGGAUGGACUCGCGGCCUAUCAGGUAGUUGGUGAGGUAAUGGCUCACCAAGCCUACGACGGGUAGCCGGCCUGAGAGGGUGACCGGCCACACUGGAACUGAGACACGGUCCAGACUCCUACGGGAGGCAGCAGUGGGGAAUAUUGCACAAUGGGCGAAAGCCUGAUGCAGCAACGCCGCGUGAGGGACGACGGCCUUCGGGUUGUAAACCUCUUUUAGUAGGGAAGAAGCGAAAGUGACGGUACCUGCAGAAAAAGCACCGGCUAACUACGUGCCAGCAGCCGCGGUAAUACGUAGGGUGCAAGCGUUAUCCGGAAUUAUUGGGCGUAAAGAGCUCGUAGGCGGUUUGUCGCGUCUGCUGUGAAAACUGGAGGCUCAACCUCCAGCCUGCAGUGGGUACGGGCAGACUAGAGUGCGGUAGGGGAGAUUGGAAUUCCUGGUGUAGCGGUGGAAUGCGCAGAUAUCAGGAGGAACACCAAUGGCGAAGGCAGAUCUCUGGGCCGUAACUGACGCUGAGGAGCGAAAGCAUGGGGAGCGAACAGGAUUAGAUACCCUGGUAGUCCAUGCCGUAAACGUUGGGAACUAGAUGUAGGGACCAUUCCACGGUUUCUGUGUCGCAGCUAACGCAUUAAGUUCCCCGCCUGGGGAGUACGGCCGCAAGGCUAAAACUCAAAGGAAUUGACGGGGGCCCGCACAAGCGGCGGAGCAUGCGGAUUAAUUCGAUGCAACGCGAAGAACCUUACCAAGACUUGACAUAUACGAGAACGGGCUAGAAAUAGUCAACUCUUUGGACACUCGUAAACAGGUGGUGCAUGGUUGUCGUCAGCUCGUGUCGUGAGAUGUUGGGUUAAGUCCCGCAACGAGCGCAACCCUCGUUCUUUGUUGCCAGCACGUAAUGGUGGGAACUCAAAGG